RNAcentral lists this ribosomal RNA (465 nucleotides) under Vreelandella stevensii. RNAcentral's name for it is "partial 16S ribosomal RNA". It matches the Rfam family "Bacterial small subunit ribosomal RNA", at positions 338 to 795 of the family's 1533-position model. Lineage: Bacteria; Pseudomonadati; Pseudomonadota; Gammaproteobacteria; Oceanospirillales; Halomonadaceae. The record is from RNAcentral.
CCUACGGGAGGCUGCAGUGGGGAAUAUUGGACAAUGGGGGCAACCCUGAUCCAGCCAUGCCGCGUGUGUGAAGAAGGCCCUCGGGUUGUAAAGCACUUUCAGUGAGGAAGAACGCCUGGUGGUUAAUACCCAUCAGGAAAGACAUCACUCACAGAAGAAGCACCGGCUAACUCCGUGCCAGCAGCCGCGGUAAUACGGAGGGUGCGAGCGUUAAUCGGAAUUACUGGGCGUAAAGCGCGCGUAGGUGGCUUGAUAAGCCGGUUGUGAAAGCCCCGGGCUCAACCUGGGAACGGCAUCCGGAACUGUCAAGCUAGAGUGCAGGAGAGGAAGGUAGAAUUCCCGGUGUAGCGGUGAAAUGCGUAGAGAUCGGGAGGAAUACCAGUGGCGAAGGCGGCCUUCUGGACUGACACUGACACUGAGGUGCGAAAGCGUGGGUAGCAAACAGGAUUAGAUACCCCUGUAGUC